Molecule: ribosomal RNA, 253 nt
Filed under: uncultured bacterium
Lineage: Bacteria
Description: partial 16S ribosomal RNA
Rfam family: Bacterial small subunit ribosomal RNA
Source: RNAcentral
UACGGGGGGGGCAAGCGUUGUUCGGAAUUACUGGGCGUAAAGGGUCUGUAGGUGGCUCGCUAAGUCAGACGUGAAAUCCCUCAGCUUAACUGGGGAACUGCGUCUGAGACUGGCAAGCUUGAGUGCAGGAGAGGAACGCGGAAUUCCAGGUGUAGCGGUGAAAUGCGUAGAUAUCUGGAGGAACACCGGUGGCGAAGGCGGCCAACUGGACGAGUACUGACGCUGAGACACGAAAGCGUGGGGAGCAAACAGG